GCCAGCAGCCAUAUUACCCUGCAGCUCACCAGUGGCAGCCCCCUGAGGCCCAGCAGGGGUGAGCCUGGUCAGUACCUGGAUGGAGACCUCCUGGGAAAAACUGAGGCUGCUGCUGGUG
This 118-nucleotide ribosomal RNA is filed under the name Lepisosteus oculatus (spotted gar). Lineage: Eukaryota; Metazoa; Chordata; Actinopteri; Semionotiformes; Lepisosteidae. The record is from RNAcentral.